Molecule: ribosomal RNA, 501 nt
Filed under: Luciola kuroiwae
Lineage: Eukaryota; Metazoa; Arthropoda; Insecta; Coleoptera; Lampyridae
Description: partial 16S ribosomal RNA
Rfam family: Archaeal large subunit ribosomal RNA (bases 380-501)
Source: RNAcentral
GUCUUUUUGAUUAUAAUUUAAGGUUUAAUCUGCUCAGUGAUUAUUUAAAUUGCCGCAGUAUUUUGACUGUGCAAAGGUAGCAUAAUAAUUAGUUUCUUUAUUGGGAACUGGAAUGAAUGAUUGGACGAGAAAAUUUCUGUCUCUUUAUUAUUUUAAUUGAAUUUUACUUUUAAGUUAAAAGGCUUAAAUUUGUUUAAAGGACGAGAAGACCCUAUAGAGUUUUAUUUUUAUUUAGUUAAUUAUUUUUAGUAUUUUAAAUGUUAAUUUUAUAAUAAUUUAGUUGGGGUGACUAGAAGAUAAGAUAAACUCUUUUAAUUUUAAAUCAAUUAUUUUUGAUUAUAAAAUCUUUAUUUUUAAUUUUAAAAUAAAUUACCUUAGGGAUAACAGCGUAAUUCUUUUUAAAAGUUCUUAUUGAAAGAAGAGUUUGCGACCUCGAUGUUGGAUUAAAAUUAAUUUUAGGUGUAGAAGCUUGAAUAUUAAGCCUGUUCGACUUUUAAAAUU